GCUCACAUAUCAUUGGAUCCUUGUUAUAAAUAUAAGCAUAAUUCUCAGAGCCCAGAAAAUCACCUCUACUUUGAAGACCUUCUCAACUACUUGUCCUGCUGUAUCCUUUCAGCCAACAAAACAAAGGCAGGAUGAAAACUCAAUCAGCUGCUUCCUUCACGAGGCCUGUUGCAGCAGAAUUGGCCAUCGAAGAUGUGCCAAGAAUGAAGCUUUUAAAUUACUCCCAACAAGAGCACAGGGUCAGAAGUUCCUAGAAUUAUUUCCUACUUGAAUCAAAGGAGCACAGAAGUAGAACAAGGUUUGAUGUUCAAUCCAAAGUCAUUUUCAACCAGCAGCCACACACUGAUCGCCUUGGAGUACUAAGCAACUUUGACAGCUGGUGGACCAUUUAUGAUUUCAUCUUCAGAUUAUUACAAAGAAGAUGGAUUCAUUGCCAAUUUACAUAGAAGAAACUGAUGUCUAGGCAAGCAAAAAGAUAAUAAACUAUGAAGUGCUACACCUGAA
Molecule: long non-coding RNA, 504 nt
Organism: Chinchilla lanigera (long-tailed chinchilla)
Lineage: Eukaryota; Metazoa; Chordata; Mammalia; Rodentia; Chinchillidae
Exons: 3
Source: RefSeq, a predicted model, not a curated record